AUUGAACGCUGGCGGCAUGCCUUACACAUGCAAGUCGAACGGUAACGCGGGGGCAACCCUGGCGACGAGUGGCGAACGGGUGAGUAAUACAUCGGAACGUACCCAGUAGUGGGGGAUAGCUCGGCGAAAGCCGGAUUAAUACCGCAUACGACCUAUGGGUGAAAGCGGGGGAUCGCAAGACCUCGCGCUAUUGGAGCGGCCGAUGUCGGAUUAGCUAGUUGGUGAGGUAAAGGCNCACCAAGGCUACGAUCCGUAGCUGGUCUGAGAGGACGACCAGCCACACUGGGACUGAGACACGGCCCAGACUCCUACGGGAGGCAGCAGUGGGGAAUUUUGGACAAUGGGCGAAAGCCUGAUCCAGCCAUGCCGCGUGUGUGAAGAAGGG
This 385-nucleotide ribosomal RNA is filed under the name uncultured bacterium. RNAcentral's name for it is "bacterial SSU rRNA". It matches the Rfam family "Bacterial small subunit ribosomal RNA", at positions 29 to 415 of the family's 1533-position model. The record is from RNAcentral.